RNAcentral lists this ribosomal RNA (490 nucleotides) under uncultured bacterium. RNAcentral's name for it is "partial 16S ribosomal RNA". It matches the Rfam family "Bacterial small subunit ribosomal RNA", at positions 30 to 507 of the family's 1533-position model. The record is from RNAcentral.
AUUGAACGCUGGCGGCAGGCCUAACACAUGCAAGUCGAACGGUAACAGAAAGCAGCUUGCUGCUUUGCUGACGAGUGGCGGACGGGUGAGUAAUGUCUGGGAAACUGCCUGAUGGAGGGGGAUAACUACUGGAAACGGUAGCUAAUACCGCAUAACGUCGCAAGACCAAAGAGGGGGACCUUCGGGCCUCUUGCCAUCGGAUGUGCCCAGAUGGGAUUAGCUUGUUGGUGGGGUAACGGCUCACCAAGGCGACGAUCCCUAGCUGGUCUGAGAGGAUGACCAGCCACACUGGAACUGAGACACGGUCCAGACUCCUACGGGAGGCAGCAGUGGGGAAUAUUGCACAAUGGGCGCAAGCCUGAUGCAGCCAUGCCGCGUGUAUGAAGAAGGCCUUCGGGUUGUAAAGUACUUUCAGCGGGGAGGAAGGGAGUAAAGUUAAUACCUUGGCUCAUUGACGUUACCCGCAGAAGAAGCACCGGCUAACUCCGUG